RNAcentral lists this ribosomal RNA (1049 nucleotides) under Salmonella enterica. RNAcentral's name for it is "bacterial LSU rRNA". It matches the Rfam family "Bacterial large subunit ribosomal RNA", at positions 711 to 1757 of the family's 2925-position model. Lineage: Bacteria; Pseudomonadati; Pseudomonadota; Gammaproteobacteria; Enterobacterales; Enterobacteriaceae. The record is from RNAcentral. RNAcentral also lists the same sequence under 4 other names.
AGACCCGAAACCCGGUGAUCUAGCCAUGGGCAGGUUGAAGGUUGGGUAACACUAACUGGAGGACCGAACCGACUAAUGUUGAAAAAUUAGCGGAUGACCUGUGGCUGGGGGUGAAAGGCCAAUCAAACCGGGAGAUAGCUGGUUCUCCCCGAAAGCUAUUUAGGUAGCGCCUCGUGAAUUCAUCUCCGGGGGUAGAGCACUGUUUCGGCUAGGGGGCCAUCCCGGCUUACCAACCCGAUGCAAACUGCGAAUACCGGAGAAUGUUAUCACGGGAGACACACGGCGGGUGCUAACGUCCGUCGUGAAGAGGGAAACAACCCAGACCGCCAGCUAAGGUCCCAAAGUCAUGGUUAAGUGGGAAACGAUGUGGGAAGGCCCAGACAGCCAGGAUGUUGGCUUAGAAGCAGCCAUCAUUUAAAGAAAGCGUAAUAGCUCACUGGUCGAGUCGGCCUGCGCGGAAGAUGUAACGGGGCUAAACCAUGCACCGAAGCUGCGGCAGCGACGCUUAUGCGUUGUUGGGUAGGGGAGCGUUCUGUAAGCCUGCGAAGGUGGCCUGUGAGGGUUGCUGGAGGUAUCAGAAGUGCGAAUGCUGACAUAAGUAACGAUAAAGCGGGUGAAAAGCCCGCUCGCCGGAAGACCAAGGGUUCCUGUCCAACGUUAAUCGGGGCAGGGUGAGUCGACCCCUAAGGCGAGGCCGAAAGGCGUAGUCGAUGGGAAACGGGUUAAUAUUCCCGUACUUGGUGUUACUGCGAAGGGGGGACGGAGAAGGCUAUGUUGGCCGGGCGACGGUUGUCCCGGUUUAAGCGUGUAGGUGUGUGUUCCAGGUAAAUCCGGUUCACUUUAACACUGAGGCGUGACGACGAGGCACUACGGUGCUGAAGCAACAAAUGCCCUGCUUCCAGGAAAAGCCUCUAAGCAUCAGGUAACAUCAAAUCGUACCCCAAACCGACACAGGUGGUCAGGUAGAGAAUACCAAGGCGCUUGAGAGAACUCGGGUGAAGGAACUAGGCAAAAUGGUGCCGUAACUUCGGGAGAAGGCACGCUGACAC